RNAcentral lists this non-coding RNA (25 nucleotides) under Rattus norvegicus (Norway rat). The record is from RNAcentral. Lineage: Eukaryota; Metazoa; Chordata; Mammalia; Rodentia; Muridae.
UGGGAGUUUGAGCACCUCGGUGAUC